RNAcentral lists this ribosomal RNA (497 nucleotides) under uncultured bacterium. RNAcentral describes it as "partial 16S ribosomal RNA". It matches the Rfam family "Bacterial small subunit ribosomal RNA", at positions 28 to 507 of the family's 1533-position model. The record is from RNAcentral.
GAUGAACGCUGGCGGCGUGCCUAAUACAUGCAAGUCGAGCGAACGGACGAGAAGCUUGCUUCUCUGAUGUUAGCGGCGGACGGGUGAGUAACACGCGGAUAACCUACCUAUAAGACUGGGAUAACUUCGGGAAACCGGAGCUAAUACCGGAUAAUAUUUUGAACCGCAUGGUUCAAAAGUGAAAGACGGUCUUGCUGUCACUUAUAGAUGGAUCCGCGCUGCAUUAGCUAGUUGGUAAGGUAACGGCUUACCAAGGCAACGAUGCAUAGCCGACCUGAGAGGGUGAUCGGCCACACUGGAACUGAGACACGGUCCAGACUCCUACGGGAGGCAGCAGUAGGGAAUCUUCCGCAAAGGGCGAAAGCCUGACGGAGCAACGCCGCGUGAGUGAUGAAGGUCUUCGGACCGUAAAACUCUGUUAUUAGGGAAGAACAUAUGUGUAAGUAACUGUGCACAUCUUGACGGUACCUAAUCAGAAAGCCACGGCUAACUACGUG